Molecule: long non-coding RNA, 415 nt
Filed under: Elaeis guineensis (African oil palm)
Lineage: Eukaryota; Viridiplantae; Streptophyta; Magnoliopsida; Arecales; Arecaceae
Description: long non-coding RNA (EGUI_LNC027316)
Source: RNAcentral
CCGUGGACUCUCGAUCAGAGUCGAAUUCCGAGUUGGGAGGGAGUCAACUCCCCCCUCCUGUCUCUAUUUAAAGAGCUAAAAUCCUUGAGAAAACUCCACCAUCGACCAUCGAAUCAUUGUCGAAAAAGCUACCGCUCCCUUCUUCCCUUAAAUGUUCUUCACUUUAGUGCUGCUGGAAUCAAGGCCAUAGCUCAUAAAAAAAAGAAGAAGAAGAAGAAGAAGAAGAAAGAGAAAGAGAAGUCUCUCUAAUCUUUCUCUCAUCUUCCAUAGUCUUUAGGUGUUGGAAUUCCAGCUGGCUAUCACCAGAUUUCUUCUUGAAAAGCUGAACAUCCGAAUCCUUAUUUUCUUUAAUUUUCUUCGGCUGCUUCCCUUGAUGUUCUGACAGCAACCAUCAUCGUCCAGUGGCGUAGUUAAG